CAUAGGUUAAUGAGGCGAACCGGGGGAACUGAAACAUCUAAGUACCCCGAGGAAAAGAAAUCAACCGAGAUUCCCCCAGUAGCGGCGAGCGAACGGGGAGCAGCCCAGAGCCUGAAUCAGUGUGUGUGUUAGUGGAAGCGUCUGGAAAGGCGCGCGAUACAGGGUGACAGCCCCGUACACAAAAAUGCACAUACUGUGAGCUCGAUGAGUAGGGCGGGACACGUGGUAUCCUGUCUGAAUAUGGGGGGACCAUCCUCCAAGGCUAAAUACUCCUGACUGACCGAUAGUGAACCAGUACCGUGAGGGAAAGGCGAAAAGAACCCCGGCGAGGGGAGUGAAAAAGAACCUGAAACCGUGUACGUACAAGCAGUGGGAGCACGCUUAGGCGUGUGACUGCGUACCUUUUGUAUAAUGGGUCAGCGACUUAUAUUCUGUAGCAAGGUUAACCGAAUAGGGGAGCCGAAGGGAAACCGAGUCUUAACUGGGCGUUAAGUUGCAGGGUAUAGACCCGAAACCCGGUGAUCUAGCCAUGGGCAGGUUGAAGGUUGGGUAACACUAACUGGAGGACCGAACCGACUAAUGUUGAAAAAUUAGCGGAUGACUUGUGGCUGGGGGUGAAAGGCCAAUCAAACCGGGAGAUAGCUGGUUCUCCCCGAAAGCUAUUUAGGUAGCGCCUCGUGAAUUCAUCUCCGGGGGUAGAGCACUGUUUCGGCAAGGGGGUCAUCCCGACUUACCAACCCGAUGCAAACUGCGAAUACCGGAGAAUGUUAUCACGGGAGACACACGGCGGGUGCUAACGUCCGUCGUGAAGAGGGAAACAACCCAGACCGCCAGCUAAGGUCCCAAAGUCAUGGUUAAGUGGGAAACGAUGUGGGAAGGCCCAGACAGCCAGGAUGUUGGCUUAGAAGCAGCCAUCAUUUAAAGAAAGCGUAAUAGCUCACUGGUCGAGUCGGCCUGCGCGGAAGAUGUAACGGGGCUAAACCAUGCACCGAAGCUGCGGCAGCGACGCUGAUGCGUUGUUGGGUAGGGGAGCGUUCUGUAAGCCUGUGAAGGUGUGCUGUGAGGCAUGCUGGAGGUAUCAGAAGUGCGAAUGCUGACAUAAGUAACGAUAAAGCGGGUGAAAAGCCCGCUCGCCGGAAGACCAAGGGUUCCUGUCCAACGUUAAUCGGGGCAGGGUGAGUCGACCCCUAAGGCGAGGCCGAAAGGCGUAGUCGAUGGGAAACAGGUUAAUAUUCCUGUACUUGGUGUUACUGCGAAGGGGGGACGGAGAAGGCUAUGUUGGCCGGGCGACGGUUGUCCCGGUUUAAGCGUGUAGGCUGGUUUUCCAGGCAAAUCCGGAA
RNAcentral lists this ribosomal RNA (1340 nucleotides) under Escherichia coli. Its description in RNAcentral is "partial 23S ribosomal RNA". It matches the Rfam family "Bacterial large subunit ribosomal RNA", at positions 165 to 1547 of the family's 2925-position model. Lineage: Bacteria; Pseudomonadati; Pseudomonadota; Gammaproteobacteria; Enterobacterales; Enterobacteriaceae. The record is from RNAcentral.